GCUACGGGAGGCAGCAGUGGGGAAUAUUGGGCAAUGGGCGAAAGCCUGAUGCAGCAACGCCGCGUGAAGGAAGAAGGCUUUCGGGUUGUAAACCUCUUUUCUGAGGGACGAAGAAAGUGACGGUACCUCAGGAAUAAGCCACGGCUAACUACGGGCCAGAAGCCGGGGUAAUAGGUAGGUGGCAAGCGUUAUCCGGAUUUAUUGGGUGUAAAGGGCGGGUAGGCGGGAAGGCAAGUCAGAUGUGAAAACUCUGGGCUCAACCCUGGGACUGCAUUGGAAACUGUUUUUCUUGAGUGCUGGAGAGGCAAGCGGAAUUCCGGGUGUAGCGGUGAAAUGCGUAGAUAUACGGAGGAACACCAGUGGCGAAGGCGGAUUGCUGGACAGUAACUGACGCUGAGGCGCGAAAGCGUGGGGAGCAAACAGGAUUAGAUACCCCAGUAGUC
This 443-nucleotide ribosomal RNA is filed under the name uncultured bacterium. RNAcentral's name for it is "partial 16S ribosomal RNA". It matches the Rfam family "Bacterial small subunit ribosomal RNA", at positions 338 to 795 of the family's 1533-position model. The record is from RNAcentral.